ACGAACGCUGGCGGCGUGCCUAAUACAUGCAAGUAGAACGCACAGUUUAUACCGUAGCUUGCUACACCAUAGACUGUGAGUUGCGAACGGGUGAGUAACGCGUAGGUAACCUGCCUGGUAGCGGGGGAUAACUAUUGGAAACGAUAGCUAAUACCGCAUAAUAUUAAUUAUUGCAUGAUAAUUAAUUGAAAGGUGCAAUUGCACCACUACCAGAUGGACCUGCGUUGUAUUAGCUAGUAGGUGAGGUAACGGCUCACCUAGGCGACGAUACAUAGCCGACCUGAGAGGGUGAUCGGCCACACUGGGACUGAGACACGGCCCAGACUCCUACGGGAGGCAGCAGUAGGGAAUCUUCGGCAAUAGACGAAAGUCUGACCGAGCAACGCCGCGUGAGUGAAGAAGGUUUUCGGAUCGUAAAGCUCUGUUGUAAGAGAAGAACGGGUGUGAGAGCGGAAAGUUCACACUGUGACGGUAUCUUACCAGAAAGGGACGGCUAACUACGUG
This 504-nucleotide ribosomal RNA is filed under the name uncultured bacterium. RNAcentral's name for it is "partial 16S ribosomal RNA". It matches the Rfam family "Bacterial small subunit ribosomal RNA", at positions 29 to 507 of the family's 1533-position model. The record is from RNAcentral.